CGUGAUUCGCGACAUUUUGUCGACUAUUCGUACUUUUGCUGCAUAUUCGCACUUCUUGUAUCAAAUGUCCUGUACAAAGCCUUGAUUUGUACAGAUCAAAGACACAUUGUGGACAAUACGAAGAGACCAACUUACUUGAAUUCAGGAUUUUGUCUAAUACCAACUAAGAAAAAGGUAGGAGCUGUAUGUAUAACUAUAAUUUCAUUAACUAAUGGACUAACAUGUAUAUCAUUAUUAUACAAAAUGUUGAAGAAUCUAAUUUUUCAAGCAACUAUAUACAUUUUAUAAGUUUCGCGCAAUGGCAUUAAUAGGGUGUCUUCAGUAUUCAUUGGAACGAAUCAAAGUCGCUGUUUACAGAAUACCUGUCGGUUUCAGAUCAAACCACACCUUGUUCUCAGCUUAAAGUUACUACCUUUAAUAGCAUAUACCUAAUUUCAAGACAACGUCCUUUGUAAGGUUAUAUUUGUUGUGUUCAAUGUUAUAUUUGUUAAGGUUCUUUUUAUAUAUUGUGGCUACCGAUAACAUUUCUCGUCCCUUUAUAUGGCUUGCUUCAUUUACUGACAACGACCUUUGGUACGUAAAUGUGUAAAAUUUCUACUUUCGUUUUACUUUCUCCAUUGUUCGGCAGAAAGACGAAAUCGAUACCGAAAGUGAAACCAAACUGCAACAAGUCGAUUCUAUAUAUAUUUUUUGAUAGCAUAUCUGUUUAGUUGUUUAAUUUAAUUACAAAACUGGCUGAAAUGUAAAUUGGGGGCCAUUAUCAAGAUGAAUGAAUUUUUACGUACAUUUAGCUAAAUCAUAUUGAUUUUACUAUUUCGAAAUAAGUAGCUUCUUCUUGGAAUCGCGCGUUCUGGGAAUCCGACUAAGCAUUUGCUUUUAUCUAUGACGUAUAUUCUCGUCAACCGAUUAAUCGCAAUUAUAAUAUCCAAAAUAUAAAAUGAAACUAGCUCUAAAAAAAAGCAUUUUGAAAAUCUAUUCAAGAUAUCGAUUAAAAUCAAGGUAAAAUGUAUUACGAUAUAAAAUGUUGGCUUUAAUUCAGUUCACAUUUUGGAUUUUUAUAUUUUCUCAAAUUGUCGACUAGAAAUGUGUUUGGGCAAGUACUGAUUAUCUGUGUACGAUGUGAGCACAGUUUGUAUGUUUAAUAUACACAUUAUUUUCUGUUAAAAACAAUGAAAGGUAACACACGCUUCAUACGUUGCGCUUCCCAAGAGUAAAAUUCAAAUAUAAUAUGCUUUUAAUGCUUUGUCUUAUAAACUCAAGGCAUCUCCCGACUAACAAUAGAAUUACACUGACAAAUAUCAUGUGUACAAUUAUAACGUUUGAUGCCAUGUCAUCAAGAUUAGUUGUGCAUCGAUAUAAAAAUGUUGAGAAUAAUUCUCCUCAUGAUGAUUGCAGUAAUGCGUGAAACUCUGAGUAGAGACAAAAAACAUUUUAACUAUAUAAGAACGGUCAUUAUAUAAUUAGCCAGCUCUACAGAAUUUUAAGUAUUGAGCACUCUCUUGUACUAUACGUUACAAAAGCUUACACUAUUAUACGCUAUAUAUGUACUAUUAUGGCAAUUUUACAAUAUGAUAUAGAUUCAACGAUGGCAGGAACAGCUAAACGGUUUGGUCUCAUUACACUGGCGAUAGUAAAGAUGGU
This 1641-nucleotide long non-coding RNA is filed under the name Paramuricea clavata. The record is from RNAcentral. Lineage: Eukaryota; Metazoa; Cnidaria; Anthozoa; Malacalcyonacea; Plexauridae.